AUGGAUUCUAACAUUAAAAUCAAUGGUACGGAAAAGGAAAACGUUGCGAGCCGACAGACCGGCCAAGCUUUCGGCCAGCUCGCGAGCCAUGCUGGCAGCUCCAACCCCCACGAAACAAACCCCCGCAUAAGACAUGUGUACGCGGUGGACCUCACACAACCGCCCCCUACUCCUAUCCUUAUCCUUUCCCUGGACUUUCCUUUUGGCUUUUCUUCAAUCUCCAGCCGCGGCAUCCUCUGCUCUCCAGAACCACGAUUUUCUCUCCUCUACGCUGCUCAUGAACCAACACAAGCUCCCCUCACCGGCGGCCAUUGUUUGUCGCAACCAGUAGCUGCUAGCGGGGGAGACCGGGGGAGGGGAGGGGGGGCUCUGGAUAUGCUGGAACCAGAGUCCACGGCUCCACGCGUGCUGCAACCAGCACGGCCGGCGGUGAAGACGACGAGCUCCGAUGCUGCAACUAGAGAUUUUUAUUGCUGGAACCAGACGGCAAAAAAGCUGCAACCACUUUUGGCAGAUUUUUUGCUGCAUGGGCAGGUGAGAGUUCUUGCUAUGACCGGCGGCGGCGAUGUGCUUUUGCUGGAAACAUGGAUAUUUUUUGCUACAACCCACAUGGAACACGAUGGUCUGAGCGGACGACGGCGACGAGCGGAGGCGGUGAUGCGUGGAGAUGAUGCAACCACAAUGGGUGCGAGCUGGAACAGGCCGGUGGGUGAGUUGCAGUCACCCACCGGGGACGAGCGCGGUCGACACGGGUGGCCGGCGAGCAGGAGCGGCAAAACGGCGGGCAUGGGUGGCUUGGGGUCGCCGGCGAGCGUGGGUUGCAAGGGGGACGAACGCGGCAGCCGGCGAACACAGGGGAUUUCUUUUUGUUUCCAAAUCACGCGCUUUGACAGAAGGGAGGAAGGAGAAGGACCCGGAUCUGACGGUCGUAACAGAGCAAAUCGGACGAUAGGGCAGCGACCGGCCCAAAUUUGGGCCGGCGCACCGGCCCCUAUCAUUGCCCUACGGAAAAAAGCAUGGGUUGGUCAAAUUCCGAAUUGGUCUAAGUCGUCCAUCUUGUUUAGUGCUCAUGUUAAUCAAACGGUCAUUGCUGGUAUUAAUAGCAUUUUCCCUGUUCCUUCCAUGGACGACAAUUUUAUUCAUUUGGACCACCCUUUAAUUCUUCCUGCCAAAAAUAGAGUUGCUGCUUACAACUUUGUCCUUAAUAGAUUCAUGGCCAAACUUCCAACCUAUAAGGCUAAUAUGCUUUCUCAUGCAGCUAGAACUUUUUGGUGGACAAGAAUUAAAGAGGACAAUUCUUCGAAAGGUCUUUGCCUUAGGGCAUGGAAGGAUAUAUGUACUUCUAAGAAGGAGGGAUGUUUGGGUAUAAGAAAUCUUCAAGCCAUGAACCAAGGUCUUAUUCUUGCCUCUGCGUGGAGACUUGCUAAUGCUCCCAACUCACAUUUGUCUCUUGUUCUCAAGUCUAAGUAUUUUCUGGAUACUUCCAUAUGGACUGCUACUUCUAGCCCUCCAAAACCAGCUUUCUGGUCAUCCAUUCUUAGAAUGCUACCUAAACUCAAAGCUCAUUGCUUAUACCACAUCACCCAAGGGAACAUUUCCAUUUUGGAGUACCCCUUGGUGCUCGGCUUGGGCCAAUAUUCAUGA
RNAcentral lists this ribosomal RNA (1644 nucleotides) under Triticum aestivum (bread wheat). RNAcentral describes it as "partial small subunit ribosomal RNA". The record is from RNAcentral. Lineage: Eukaryota; Viridiplantae; Streptophyta; Magnoliopsida; Poales; Poaceae.